This is a long non-coding RNA of Rosa chinensis, 1628 nucleotides long. RefSeq lists it as uncharacterized. The transcript is spliced from 3 exons. The record is from RefSeq and is a predicted model, not a curated record. Lineage: Eukaryota; Viridiplantae; Streptophyta; Magnoliopsida; Rosales; Rosaceae.
UACCACCAUGAGUACUAAUGUGCAGGUGAUAAACCAGGCCACACAUUAAUUAUUAAAGCAGAACAGUAACCUUGCAAAAUGCUUUGAAUAUUGAUUUUGUUCUCUUUUGAUUGAGAAGAGGCCACGUAGUAAACCUUUGAAUCUUUUGACUUGCACGCCACAUGAAUCUGGAGAGUACCUUGUUCCUCUUUUUUUUUAUAGCUUUAAAUAGAACAAAGUUGCAGCAUAGCACCCUCUGAGAAUCAUGGCUUCAGAUUGUCAUCUUCUCCUUCCUUUUCUUCCAGACUAGGUUCUUUUUGCCAUGCUUUAGAAUCCACUGUCUGAUAGAGCCUUUUGUGAACACUGUAGGUAAAAGUGCAGGCAGGGAGUUUGACAGCAAGUGCAGGCAGGAACUUUGAUAGCAGAGGCCAUUUCAUUGCUGGGAUUUGGUGGACAAGGUUACUAGGAGUACUUCCAAGAGAACAUCAAGGGUGAGCUUUCCUCUCCAGACACCACCUUUGAUGAUUUGUGUGGUUGUCUUGCUUGAUCAUUUCUUUGUGUGGCUUGUUUGCAAGGCCAUCUGAUUUGUUAUAUUGGAAAAGAAGGUAGGAGGUAGGAGGCUUUCGGUGGUGACUAUUGUUGACUUCCAGAGCAGAUGACAUGACAUUCCACCGAUUGGUCAUACACUCGUGGAUACACAUGUAUCAUAUACGAGAUUGCGACCGUUCGGGGAUCUCCAUAGCUCCAUGGCGGUGACACCAGUAAAGAGACACUGCAAAAGAAAAACAAGAAGUAGCACUGGUAGGUCAGAGAGGCAUCAACCUUUUAGCGUCUGCUUCCCGGCUCCUCCCUUGAACAAAGUUGCUGGAUUCUUCUUCUCUCCUUUGCAGCAGGGCUUCACCUUCCUCUUGAUGUGUUUUCUCCGUUGUUGCUUCUCUCCAGCCUUUUCUGCUCCUCCCUUCGUUGCCUCUCUGCUGCCCCUCUUCACUUGUUGUAAAGAGCCUUUAUAUAGGCAACGUAGAAGAAUAAAGAUCAUGCGGGUUAACCAUAACUCUUUUUUUGAAUUUGAAAUGAUCUUCAGAUGACGAUAACCAUUCCCAUAUUCAAACUUGUAACUGUGGGAACUAUCCACAACUUCCAGUAUGGAAUUUGAAUUUUGAAAGCUUUGAGUAUCAAUCCACGUGAUCAUGCUUCGGAGAUAAUUAAGCUAAACCAAUUAGAAAGUUACUGGACUCUCUCACUUUUGCGUCGAACCAAUUUUCUCAUUUUGGGUUUGUGAAUUUUUUUGUCUCAACAAUCACUUCCUCGGUUCGCCUUCAUCAUUCCAAGUGCUUCUGCUUGCUUUCUCGAUUUUCUUGGUGACAUUGAUGAGGGCCCUUCUAUAUCUAACCCUGCAUCUUAUCUUCCACCAUGGGCUCUGAUUGUGACGGCUAUUCUAUAAAGGGGCUCACAUUUUGCUAUCUGAUUAUGGAUGGUUGUGGCUGAUUCGGAAUUGGAGCAUGCUUUGAUGUAAUUGUUGAUGGCUUUAUUUUUUGAGUAAGAUCUAUUAGUUUACGAUAUAAUGCUGCAAUUUUUUGUCUCUUACAAAGAGCAUCUGUAAAGCUUCAUUGAAUGGUUUUUUGAGAGAAAGGAAUAGAAUGUUUAAUCUC